CCCACUGUGUUGCCCAUGUGCUGGGGCCGACAGGGGAGAUCCUUUGAUCAACAAUUUUUCCUCCCUCGAGCAUGCUGGUCGGACCGUUACCGUACGUUACCAUGACAAUGCUCUGACACAGCGUUCUGCUCACAGGAAGAGAGAAGUCAGCCUUUGUAGCACAACGCAACACCAGACCACCAGGGAUUGUAGUGUGCCCCCCAUCCUUCACUAAAUGUAAGAAG
Non-coding RNA from Pelobates cultripes (western spadefoot toad), 224 nucleotides. The record is from the annotation of a GenBank genome assembly. Lineage: Eukaryota; Metazoa; Chordata; Amphibia; Anura; Pelobatidae.